AUUGAACGCUGGCGGCAGGCCUAACACAUGCAAGUCGAGCGCGAAAGUCUUCGGAUGAGUAAAGCGGCGAACGGGUGAGUAAUGCAUGGGAAUCUGCCUGGUAGUGGGGGACAACGUCUCGAAAGGGACGCUAAUACCGCAUACGCCUACGGGGAAAGGGGGGGAUCUUCGGACCUCUCGCUAUCAGAUGAGCCCAUGUCAGAUUAGCUAGUUGGUGAGGUAAAGGCUCACCAAGGCGACGAUCUGUAACUGGUCUGAGAGGAUGAUCAGUCACACUGGAACUGAGACACGGUCCAGACUCCUACGGGAGGCAACAGUGGGGAAUAUUGGACAAUGGGGGCAACCUCGAUCCAGCCAUGCCGCGUGUGUGAAGAAGGCCCUAGGGUUGUAAAGCACUUUC
This 400-nucleotide ribosomal RNA is filed under the name uncultured bacterium. Its description in RNAcentral is "bacterial SSU rRNA". It matches the Rfam family "Bacterial small subunit ribosomal RNA", at positions 30 to 437 of the family's 1533-position model. The record is from RNAcentral.